CUGCUGUCCCUGGACGUUCCCAGGAGAGGGUCCGGGAGGGGGUUGGGAGCGAACGCAGGGAGGAAUUGCUCUUUCGACCACUCUUCGCGCCCCUCCCCCCAUCCAAUCUGGCUUUGGUACACACUCUUAAAAGCUUUUGGGUAGGAUUCUCUGGAAAAAUGGUUUUUCCAGUGUCAGGUGAUCACUAUGUUGGUUGUUUCCGAAACUGUUAUACCGAGAGAAGUUAUUUGUCUUGGUCAAUACAGCACCUAAAACCACAGUAACCAAAACCUAACACAUAGUAACUAAGAUGUAAAUGUAGAAUUCGCAGAAAUCUCAGCGUUUGUGUUUUAGGAUUAAUUUGACUUUGACCCUUGACUUUUUGACUAGCCCCUGAUCUUUCUUAUUCACAGCACCAGCAUCAAAACUUUGGCCAGUCCUCAAGACCCAUCCCCCAUCUCCCACCACGCCUUUUCAAGAGGGACAGAGGCUACUAGGACAAGAAUUCUCUUAUUCACUUCCCUCCCCCAAAUUAUUUUUUCCUUGAAUUUCCUGACGUUUUACAAGAGAUAAUGUCCUUUUAUGUGUGUGUGUGUAUACACACGCACAUUUAUAUGUGUAGAUAUACGUAUAUUCGUGUUGUAAUAUAUAUUCUUGAUUUUGGUCCUCUGGGUUUAGAGACUGACCAGCUGUUCACCUUGGGCAAAUUUCUUAAUAGUCUGUGUCUUAAUAGUCCUCAUCUGUAAAAUGAGAAAAAAGAAUAAUAUGGUCCUCAUAUGACAUUAAGGGAGAUUCAAGGCAAGUCAUUUAUGUAUUUAGAGCAUUUAGGUCAGUACUUCGCUCAUAAUAAAUACAUAGUAUAUGACACUGUCCUGUAUACUUUUAAAACACUCUCCUGUAUGCUUUUAAAUCAUCUCUUGAUUAUAUAAACACCUAAUACAAUGUAAAUGCUUUGUAAAUAGUUAUUAUUGCUGUGUUUAGUAAAUAAUGACCAAAAUAAAUCUGUGUUCAGUUAAAAAAAA
Molecule: long non-coding RNA, 1001 nt
Filed under: Marmota monax (woodchuck)
Lineage: Eukaryota; Metazoa; Chordata; Mammalia; Rodentia; Sciuridae
Source: RNAcentral